UAACUGGUUGCUCAGUGGUUAGAGCAUUGGCCGGUGUGCCAAAGGGUUGCAGGUUCAAUUCCUGGUCAAGGUCA
Non-coding RNA from Myotis brandtii (Brandt's bat), 74 nucleotides. Lineage: Eukaryota; Metazoa; Chordata; Mammalia; Chiroptera; Vespertilionidae. The record is from Rfam.